RNAcentral lists this ribosomal RNA (253 nucleotides) under uncultured bacterium. RNAcentral describes it as "partial 16S ribosomal RNA". It matches the Rfam family "Bacterial small subunit ribosomal RNA", at positions 524 to 776 of the family's 1533-position model. The record is from RNAcentral.
UACGGAGGAUUCGAGCGUUAUCCGGAUUUAUUGGGUUUAAAGGGAGCGUAGGCGGGUUGUUAAGUCAGUUGUGAAAGUUUGCGGCUCAACCGUAAAAUUGCAGUUGAUACUGGCAUCCUUGAGUACAGUAGAGGUAGGCGGAAUUCGUGGUGUAGCGGUGAAAUGCAUAGAUAUCACGCAGAACCCCGAUUGCGAAGGCAGCAUACCGGCGCCCGACUGACGCUGAAGCACGAAAGCGUGGGUAUCGAACAGG